AGUCGAGCGGACCUUGAGGAGCUUGCUCCCUGGGUUCAGCGGCGGACGGGUGAGUAACACGUGGGCAACCUGCCCUGCAGAUCGGGAUAACUCCGGGAAACCGGUGCUAAUACCGAAUAGUUUGCGGCCUCUCCUGAGGCUGCACGGAAAGACGGUUUCGGCUGUCACUGCAGGAUGGGCCCGCGGCGCAUUAGCUAGUUGGUGGGGUAAUGGCCCACCAAGGCGACGAUGCGUAGCCGACCUGAGAGGGUGAUCGGCCACACUGGGACUGAGACACGGCCCAGACUCCUACGGGAGGCAGCAGUAGGGAAUCUUCCGCAAUGGACGCAAGUCUGACGGAACAAUGCCGCGUGAGUGACGAAGGUUUUCGGAUCGUAAAACUCUGUUGUGAGGGAAGAACAAGUACCAACUAACUACUGGUACCUUGACGGUACCUCACCAGAAAGCCACGGCUAACUACGUGCCAGCAGCCGCGGUAAUACGUAGGUGGCAAGCGUUGUCCGGAAUUAUUGGGCGUAAAGCGCGCGCAGGCGGUCCCUUAAGUCUGAUGUGAAAGCCCACGGCUCAACCGUGCAGGGUCAUUGGAAACUGGGGGGACUUGAGUGCACAAUAGGAAAGUGGAAUUCCAUGUGUAGCGGUGAAAUGCGUAGAGAUGUGGGAGGAACACCAGUGGCGAAUGCGACUUUCUGGUCUGUAACUGACGCUGAGGCGCGAAAGCGUGGGGAGCAAACAGGAUUCGAUACCGUGGUAGUUCCCCGCCCUACACGAUGAUUGCCACGUGUUAGGGGUAUCCGCCUCCUUAAUGCGGGCAGCUAACGCAUUAGCACUCCGCCUGGGGCAUACAGGCGCAGGGUGAAUCUCACAAGAAUAGACGGGGGGGCCGCCGCAGGCGUGUGAGCACGUUGAUUAAUACGAGACAUGCCGAGGAACAUUACAAG
Molecule: ribosomal RNA, 938 nt
Filed under: bacterium SCS_04Z1_41_3
Lineage: Bacteria
Description: bacterial SSU rRNA
Rfam family: Bacterial small subunit ribosomal RNA
Source: RNAcentral